Podarcis lilfordi (Lilford's wall lizard) is the source of this 1532-nucleotide non-coding RNA. Lineage: Eukaryota; Metazoa; Chordata; Lepidosauria; Squamata; Lacertidae. The record is from the annotation of a GenBank genome assembly.
AGAAAACAAGGAGGUGACAGAACUUAGCGGUCCUCUUCGUGUGUCCCCCCCCCCCAGCACCUGCCCUGUGGCUCAGUCCAUGUGAGUAGCAUGUAAGUGAAAACCAUGCAGACCAGUCAUUUUCCUCUCUUCAUCUCAGUCACCAUUGCCCACAGGGGAGGGAGAAGAAUAACGUUAUGGGAUAGACCAGGGCUGCAGGCCCAGUGUACCUGAAGGAGCGUCUCCACCCCCCAUCGUUCUGCCCAGACACUGAGGUCCAGCGCCGAGGGCCUUCUGGCAGUUCCCUCAGUGCAAGAAGUGAGGAUACAGUGGUACCUCGGGUUACAUACACUUCAGGUUACAUACGCUUCAGGUUACAGACUCCACUAACCCAGAAAUAGUGCUUCAGGUUAAGAACUUUGCUUCAGGAUGAGAACAGAAAUUGUGCUCUGGCGGCACGGUGGCAGCAGGAGGCCCCAUUAGCUAAAGUGGUGCUUCAGGUUAAGAACAGUUUCAGGUUAAGUACGGACCUCCGGAACGAAUUAAGUACUUAACCUGAGGUACCACUGUAUAGGGAACCAGGCAGAGGGCCUUCUUGGUAGUGGCAAGCGCCCUGUGGAACACCCUCCCACCAGAUGUUAAGGAAAUAAACAACUACCUGAUUUUUAGAAGACACCUGCUUAGGGAAGUUUUUAAUGUUUGAUGUUUUAUCAUGUUUUUAAUAUUCUGUUGGGAGCUGCCCAUGGUGGCUAGGGAGGCCUGGCCAGAUGGGUGGGGUAUAAGUAAUAAGUUGUUUCGCACUCUGCCUCAGUCCCUGGCACCUAGAGCAUGCUCACUGACCGGCUGAUGAUGGGGAAUUCUCCUCGGCUGCCGGUAUUGAGGGGCGGUCUUCCCGCCAAAGAGGACAAAUUUGAAUGGGCCAAUCAGAGGCCCUGCUUGGAGGGUGGUGACUCGCUGGCUGGCCGGGGAUUGGCUGUUACCCUGCUUGGCAGUGAGGCUUAAAAGGCCAGCUGUGCAUGGCUUCCAACAUUUGUAUGCCCCACCUCCUUCCCAAACCUGGGCAAGUGAGAAGGAGGCUUCUAGGACUCUGUUGGAGCCCUCACAUCUCCUUCCCAAAGUCCAGCGCUUCCUAGCUGUCCCUGUGGGGGGGUACCGGUUGCACUUCCCUAAAUCCGCCUGUUUCCCAACAGCUUCUAUUGAAAACACUUUGAAACACACUUCGCAGGGAGAAGAUGGCGUCUGCCACCAGAGAAGGACUUGUGGGUUGAUUCGGCAUAAACACCAGCGUGUGAGGACAUACUGCAAACAAUAGACUUACCAGCUGCAAAAAAAAAAAAAAAGGAAAGGCAUACAAAUUUCACACAGAAGCACAUUAUUGCUUACUUCAACUCGCCUGUGGAAACAACUCAGAGGCCAUGAAAGAAGGAAGGAUAACAACAGGAAGAUUUAAAGAAGGAACUAUUGGAAACUCAAGGCAGUAGAGACAUAAGAUGAUCAGAGCCCCACCGAACUUGAAGCAUGGGAAGCCCCAACAAAAAUUUAUAAUUUGGCAG